GGGGCCAUAGCUCAGCUGGUAGAGCGCCUGCCUUGCACGCAGGAGGUCAACGGUUCGACUCCGUUUGGCUCCACCA
Molecule: transfer RNA, 76 nt
Filed under: Psychrobacter sp. LV10R520-6
Lineage: Bacteria; Pseudomonadati; Pseudomonadota; Gammaproteobacteria; Moraxellales; Moraxellaceae
Also listed under: 2 other names
Description: tRNA_Ala_TGC
Rfam family: tRNA
About the family: Transfer RNA (tRNA) molecules are approximately 80 nucleotides in length.
Source: RNAcentral